This 1086-nucleotide long non-coding RNA is filed under the name Sus scrofa (pig). RNAcentral's name for it is "lncRNA (ENSSSCG00030032743.1)". Lineage: Eukaryota; Metazoa; Chordata; Mammalia; Artiodactyla; Suidae. The record is from RNAcentral.
AGACCCCAGUGUGGGGAGGAAGCCCCUGGGUCCCACAGAAGGUUAGUUUAGGGUCACCAGUCACAUAAUCUGUCUGUAAAAUUUCAUUCACUAUUUAUGCCACAGUUAAAUUUUGUGAGCUCUCCAAAAUGGUAGGUUAAAUUUUUGUCAAGUCCAAUAUUUAAAAGAUGGUAUUCGGAGUUCCCGUCGUGGCGCAGUGGUUAACGAAUCCGACUAGGAACCAUGAGGUUGCGGGUUCGGUCCCUGCCCUUGCUCAGUGGGUUAACGAUCCGGCGUUGCCGUGAGCUGUGGUGUAGGUUGCAGACGCAGCUCGGAUCCCGCGUUGCUGUGGCUCUGGCGUAGGCCAGUGGCUACAGCUCCGAUUGGACCCCUAGCCUGGGAACCUCCAUAUGCUGCGGGAGCGGCCCAAGAAAUAGCAAAAAGACAAAAAAAAAUAAAUAAAUAAAAGUUGGUAUUCAUUCUCUGAUUUUAGGUCCAGAAGGUGGAUAAACCUCUAAGAUAAUAGCAUGAAAUUUGCCAUAAUGAUAUCAUCAGCAGGUCAGAUGGGACACAAGCGUCUGUGGAUUUACUUUCAACUCCACUGCCACAUAUUAGUGGAGACUCCAGGAGUGGAUGAAUUUUUUGCAGAUGAGGCUCCUUCUCCUUGUCUCAACUUCUCUUCCAACUAAAAACUCCCAUAAAACACGCUAUCUGCAGAAUUCUCAGGAGGGAAGAGAAGGAGUUGAGCCAUAACCUCCUAACCUCUGCGGCACACCCUCGGCCAGCAACCUCAUUCUCCUUCUGGCAUUUGGAGGGCUCUGUGGAUCCCUUGCCCUCAGAAAUGCUAUCAACAUAAUGAAAGUUGAGAUGAAAAUUAAUCAUUUGCUGAGCUUCCUCCUGCAUCUGUUUUAAAACCUUCUGAGGGUGAGAGGAAUCUGUAGAACCUUGGAAGGCUGUGCUGGGAUUCCCACUGACUAUACUGGGAAAUCUGAGGUGAUCCAUUCGAAGCAGUUAUUAGGAAGAAAUGAGAUGACACUGUUUCUCAGCAUUUGAGAUCAAGAACCUCAGAUUGGAACAGGUAUUGUCCCUGAUUUCUCAUAGUUGUCU